This 460-nucleotide ribosomal RNA is filed under the name uncultured bacterium. RNAcentral's name for it is "partial 16S ribosomal RNA". It matches the Rfam family "Bacterial small subunit ribosomal RNA", at positions 338 to 795 of the family's 1533-position model. The record is from RNAcentral.
CCUACGGGAGGCUGCAGUGAGGAAUAUUGGUCAAUGGACGAGAGUCUGAACCAGCCAAGUAGCGUGAAGGAUGACUGCCCUAUGGGUUGUAAACUUCUUUUAUAUGGGAAUAAAAUGUUCCACGUGUGGGAUUUUGUAUGUACCAUAUGAAUAAGGAUCGGCUAACUCCGUGCCAGCAGCCGCGGUAAUACGGAGGAUCCGCGCGUUAUCCGGAUUUAUUGGGUUUAAAGGGAGCGUAGGUGGAUUGUUAAGUCAGUUGUGAAAGUUUGCGGCUCAACCGUAAAAUUGCAGUUGAUACUGGCAGUCUUGAGUACAGUAGAGGUGGGCGGAAUUCGUGGUGUAGCGGUGAAAUGCUUAGAUAUCACGAAGAACUCCGAUUGCGAAGGCAGUUCACUGGACUGCAACUGACACUGAGGCUCGAAAGUGUGGGUAUCAAACAGGAUUAGAUACCCCUGUAGUC